RNAcentral lists this ribosomal RNA (397 nucleotides) under uncultured bacterium SA23. Its description in RNAcentral is "bacterial SSU rRNA". It matches the Rfam family "Bacterial small subunit ribosomal RNA", at positions 1120 to 1515 of the family's 1533-position model. The record is from RNAcentral.
AUCAUCUAGAGUUGGGCACUUUAAUGAGACUGCCGGUGACAAACCAGGAGGAAGGUGGGGAUGACGUCAAGUCCUCAUGGCCCUUAUGGGUAGGGCUUCACACGUCAUACAAUGGUCGGUUCAGAGGGUUGCCAACCCGCGAGGGGGAGCCAAUCUCAGAAAGCCGAUCGUAGUCCGGAUCGCAGUCUGCAACUCGACUGCGUGAAGUCGGAAUCGCUAGUAAUCGCGGAUCAGCAUGUCGCGGUGAAUACGUUCCCGGGUCUUGUACACACCGCCCGUCACACCAUGGGAGCGGGUUCUGCCAGAAGUAGUUAGCCUAACCGCAAGGAGGGCGAUUACCACGGCAGGGUUCGUGACUGGGGUGAAGUCGUAACAAGGUAGCCGUAGGGGAACCUGC